CCCGCGACAAGCGGUGGAGCAUGUGGUUUAAUCGAAGCAACGCGAAGAACCUUACCAGGUCUUGACAUCCCGAUGCUAUUUCUAGAGAUAGAAAGUUACUUCGGUACAUCGGUGACAGGUGGUGCAUGGUUGUCGUCAGCUCGUGUCGUGAGAUGUUGGGUUAAGUCCCGCAACGAGCGCAACCCCUAUUGUUAGUUGCCAUCAUUCAGUUGGGCACUCUAGCGAGACUGCCGGUAAUAAACCGGAGGAAGGUGGGGAUGACGUCAAAUCAUCAUGCCCCUUAUGACCUGGGCUACACACGUGCUACAAUGGUUGGUACAACGAGUUGCGAGUCGGUGACGGCGAGCUAAUCUCUUAAAGCCAAUCUCAGUUCGGAUUGUAGGCUGCAACUCGCCUACAUGAAGUCGGAAUCGCUAGUAAUCGCGGAUCAGCACGCCGCGGUGAAUACGUUCCCGGGCCUU
RNAcentral lists this ribosomal RNA (461 nucleotides) under uncultured Streptococcus sp. Its description in RNAcentral is "bacterial SSU rRNA". It matches the Rfam family "Bacterial small subunit ribosomal RNA", at positions 920 to 1382 of the family's 1533-position model. Lineage: Bacteria; Bacillati; Bacillota; Bacilli; Lactobacillales; Streptococcaceae. The record is from RNAcentral.